GAUGAACGCAGGCGGCGUGCCUAAUACAUGCAAGUCGAGCGAACAGACGAGGAGCUUGCUCCUCUGACGUUAGCGGCGGACGGGUGAGUAACACGUGGAUAACCUACCUAUAAGACUGGGAUAACUUCGGGAAACCGGAGCUAAUACCGGAUAAUAUAUUGAACCGCAUGGUUCAAUAGUGAAAGACGGUUUUGCUGUCACUUAUAGAUGGAUCCGCGCCGCAUUAGCUAGUUGGUAAGGUAGCGGCUUACCAAGGCGACGAUGCGUAGCCGACCUGAGAGGGUGAUCGGCCACACUGGAACUGAGACACGGUCCAGACUCCUACGGGAGGCAGCAGUAGGGAAUCUUCCGCAAUGGGCGAAAGCCUGACGGAGCAACGCCGCGUGAGUGAUGAAGGUCUUCGGAUCGUAAAACUCUGUUAUUAGGGAAGAACAAAUGUGUAAGUAACUAUGCACGUCUUGACGGUACCUAAUCAGAAAGCCACGGCUAACUACGUG
RNAcentral lists this ribosomal RNA (497 nucleotides) under uncultured bacterium. RNAcentral's name for it is "partial 16S ribosomal RNA". It matches the Rfam family "Bacterial small subunit ribosomal RNA", at positions 28 to 507 of the family's 1533-position model. The record is from RNAcentral.